Molecule: long non-coding RNA, 1490 nt
Organism: Zea mays
Lineage: Eukaryota; Viridiplantae; Streptophyta; Magnoliopsida; Poales; Poaceae
Exons: 4
Source: RefSeq, a predicted model, not a curated record
AAGAACAGAGAAAACAUGAAUGGUAAGAAGAUUUGGUCUCGUAGAUCUUCUAUUUUGCCGGAAUUUGUUGGUUCCACUGUGCUCAUUUACAAUGGGAAAAGUCAUGUCCGGUGCAAGAUCACUGAAGGGAAGGUUGGCCAUAAAUUUGGAGAGUUUGCUUUUACACAGAGACGAAGGCCCCAUCGAACAAUAACAGGAAAGGGAAAUCAAGGAAAGGGCAGAAAGUAAAAGUAGAAAUGUGCAUGAAAGGUUGGCCAUAAAUUUGGAGAGUUUGCUUUUACACAGAGACGAAGGCCCCAUCGAACAAUAACAGGAAAGGGAAAUCAAGGAAAGGGCAGAAAGUAAAAGUAGAAAUGUGCAUGAAAGGUUGGCCAUAAAUUUGGAGAGUUUGCUUUUACACAGAGACGAAGGCCCCAUCGAACAAUAACAGGAAAGGGAAAUCAAGGAAAGGGCAGAAAGUAAAAGUAGAAAUGUGCAUGAAAGGUUGGCCAUAAAUUUGGAGAGUUUGCUUUUACACAGAGACGAAGGCCCCAUCGAACAAUAACAGGAAAGGGAAAUCAAGGAAAGGGCAGAAAGUAAAAGUAGAAAUGUGCAUGAAAGGUGAGGUUGUACGUACACCCUGCUCCUCCGUUCCUUGUUCCUACCAAAACACGAUGACACAUUCUUACUCUUAUGUGUUUUGCGUGCUAAAUCACUUCUACCAUUUUAGCAUUCGUGGUUCGAGCAAGCACCAAAAUCACAACAUUCUUGCACUAUGGUAACUGCAACUUUGGUUAGAAUUUCUAUGGGAGCAAAUUGUUUCGUUAAUGAUAUACAGUUGAAAUUCCUCGGGGUAUCAUGGCAUUAUGUUUGCUGGGUAUCGGUGGUUUUAGUUUUUUAUAUACAUGUAUAUUAGAGUGAUGUAUCAAGCAUCUUAUAAAUGAAUUAUGUCUGCACUCGGCCAACUUUUUAUUUUGAUUGAGGUAAAUUCCAUGGAAGCAUCUUGGGUCUGCUGCUUGUUCUUUAUAGUUCACACUUUGGAUGGUUCUGGAGCCAUAACAGACCAAAUUCAAUGGAUGGAUUUUUUUGGCUAAAGGCUAUUGUCGUCCUGAGUCCUGACGGUGCUGUUCCUUUUUAUAGUUCAAAUAGAUGUGAAUUUUAAAUGUUCAAUUAUAAUUUCCAAGCAGUGGAGAGGAGGAGCAUCACAGUGCACUUAUCACUCAGCGAGGCAUAGGAAUAGUAGUCUGGUGAGUUUACAUUAUGCAUCUGAUUCUUUUUUAUAUUCAGUUAUAACAUUUGAGAAUAUUAUGCAUGUGAUUCUUUUUUCUUGUGAUGAUUGGUAUGAUUGAAAUGUUUUAUUAGUAUGCACAAUUCAAACAAGUUUUGUGUGUUUAUACAAUCACAAUGGACAGUUGAUCAAUUGCUUAUACAAUAAUCAAUUAUUUCGUGGCUUCAUCCACCUCAUCGUUGGUUCUUCGUUGUUUACUAAUAAGGGCCUGGUUCAUAGAACA